UACGAAGGGGGCUAGCGUUGCUCGGAAUCACUGGGCGUAAAGCGCACGUAGGCGGCUUUCUAAGUCAGGGGUGAAAUCCUGGAGCUCAACUCCAGAACUGCCUUUGAUACUGGAGAGCUUGAGUCCGGGAGAGGUGAGUGGAACUCCGAGUGUAGAGGUGAAAUUCGUAGAUAUUCGGAAGAACACCAGUGGCGAAGGCGGCAUCCUGGACCGGCAUUGACGCUGAGGCGCGAAAGCCAGGGGAGCAAACGGG
RNAcentral lists this ribosomal RNA (253 nucleotides) under uncultured bacterium. RNAcentral's name for it is "partial 16S ribosomal RNA". It matches the Rfam family "Bacterial small subunit ribosomal RNA", at positions 524 to 776 of the family's 1533-position model. The record is from RNAcentral.